GAUGAAGAACGUAGCGAAAUGCGAUAAGUAAUGUGAAUUGCAGAAUUCAGUGAAUCAUCGAAUCUUUGAACGCACAUUGCGCCCGCCAGUAUUCUGGCGGGCAUGCCUGUUCGAGCGUCAUUUCAACCAUCAAGCCCCAGGCUUGUGUUGGAGCCCUGCGGCUGCCGCAGCCUCCCAAAACCAGUGGCGGGCUCGCUAUCACACCGAGUGCAGUAGUUUACUCUUCGCUCAGGGCGUGUGGCGGGUGCUAGCCGUAAAACCCCCAACUUCUCAAGGAUGACCUCGGAUCAGGUAGGAAUACCCGCUGAACUUAAGCAUAUCAAUAAGCGGAGGA
RNAcentral lists this unclassified non-coding RNA (334 nucleotides) under soil metagenome. RNAcentral describes it as "partial contains 5.8S ribosomal RNA, internal transcribed spacer 2, and large subunit ribosomal RNA". The stretch from base 1 to 120 matches the Rfam family "5.8S ribosomal RNA", at positions 35 to 154 of the family's 154-position model. The record is from RNAcentral.